This 252-nucleotide ribosomal RNA is filed under the name uncultured bacterium. Its description in RNAcentral is "partial 16S ribosomal RNA". It matches the Rfam family "Bacterial small subunit ribosomal RNA", at positions 524 to 776 of the family's 1533-position model. The record is from RNAcentral.
UACGGAGGAUGCGAGCAUUAUCCGGAUUUAUUGGGUUUAAAGGGUGCGUAGGCGGACUGUCAAGUCAGCGGUAAAAUUGAGAGGCUCAACCUCUUCCCGCCGUUGAAACUGGUGGUCUUGAGUGGAUGAGAAGUACGCGGAAUGCGUGGUGUAGCGGUGAAAUGCAUAGAUAUCACGCAGAACUCCGAUUGCGAAGGCAGCGUACCGGCAUCCAACUGACGCUGAGGCACGAAAGCGUGGGGAUCAAACAGG